ACCCGAAAGAUGGUGAACUAUGCCUGAAUAGGGUGAAAGCCAGAGGAAACUCUGGUGGAGGCUCGUAGCGGUACUGACGUGCAAAUCGUUCGUCAAAUUUGGGUAUAGGGGCGAAAAGACUAAUCGAACCAUCUAGUAGCUGGUUCCCUUCGAAGUUUCCCCUCAGGAUAGCUGGAGCUCGAAUUUGUGUUUAAACAGUUUUAUCAGGUAAAGCGAAUGAUUAGAGGUCUUAGGGUUGUAACAACCUUAACCUAUUCUCAAACUUUAAAUGGGUAAGAGGAGUAAGGCUACUUAACAGGUUAUAAAUGUCUUUAAGAAUUUUUCAAUAGAUUGUUCUUAAAACCUUUAUAAUCGAUGGUGUUCGUUCGCGAACAUCGUUAAUGAGCUUUCUCGCUCAAUGGAAGAGCUCUUAGUGGGCCAUUUUUGGUAAGCAGAACUGGCG
This 442-nucleotide ribosomal RNA is filed under the name uncultured eukaryote. Its description in RNAcentral is "eukaryotic LSU rRNA". It matches the Rfam family "Eukaryotic large subunit ribosomal RNA", at positions 814 to 1155 of the family's 3401-position model. The record is from RNAcentral.